This 2606-nucleotide long non-coding RNA is filed under the name Elaeis guineensis (African oil palm). Its description in RNAcentral is "long non-coding RNA (EGUI_LNC015272)". The record is from RNAcentral. Lineage: Eukaryota; Viridiplantae; Streptophyta; Magnoliopsida; Arecales; Arecaceae.
CUUCCAUUAUUUCUCAAAUGCUUUCUAGCAUAUUCUGUCUUUAUAUUCAACUAUUUAUCAUUUAAUCCUCGUUAUAGUACAUAACACUCACUGCUUCUUGAUUUUUAUUUGUAAGUCUACUACAAAGCAACUUAUUAACAAAAACACUUGAGAAUUUAAUUCCUCCUAUAUUCCGCCAUCACAAAAGAUCUAUGGCAGGUUCAAUGAGCCUUCCAUUUGUCCUUGAUCUUAAAAACUGAUUAUUGUUCUUCCAUAAACAGGUUCAAGAAAACAAAUAAAUAGCCCAAAACAAAAUUUAAUCCCUUUCCUAGGUUCUUCUAUGCAUCACCAUCUAUCCCUAGAUAGUCAGACCUCAAGUCUAGUGUUGCUUAAGUGCCUUAAAUAACAGUUGGGCGAUGUUUGGUUGCUGAAUAGCCAACCACCCUCUAAAUAGAUUUAACCAUUAGUGUUUAGCUCCUAACCAAGGAACAAGUGAAUAAAGUUGUUUGCUAUUUGGUCGGUGCUUAAUCCACCAUUAAUGCCACUGCUAAGAGGAAGGGAGGUAGCAACACACCUCUGGAGAGCUCGUGGCAACCAAGAGACACUACUAGAGCCGGAGAAGAAGGCAGCUGCUACACGAUAGGGACAGGGCAUCCAUGGUUCAAGGUCGAAGAAGAUGAUAAUUGAAAAGUCAAGGCAAGAUCAGGCAUGAAGGAGACCUCAGCAACCAAUGCCAAUCCAAGAUCCAGCAGUGGUGGUUCUCUGGCCAGCCAAACCCAACACAGAGGAAGAUAGACUGAAUUGGGCUCAAACAAGGACUACAAAAAAUCCACAGCAGCUACUCAACCAUGAACAAGGCUCAUGAAGGGACCCAUGCAUGUGUCUCAAGUCACCAACAAGAGGCGACAAAGCAGCCAGCGAGAGGGCCUCUACAAAUCUGGAACCAAGGAGAAAAGAGAGAGGUAGCAGUGACUCAGGGACAGUGAGGUGAAAGUGAAAAGGAAUGAUAAAUUACCGACACCAGGGGUAAAAAGGGGGUAAAAUAAAGGCUAGAGGAGCUUCCAGCCCCAUGAAUAAAGUUAGCCAGGUUAACUGGCUUUUCUCCCCUUUCACUGAACAAAGUUAUCCGUCAACUUUUUUGGUGUUGUUUGGCUGGUUAAGCUGGUAACUUUCUCUUAUCCACCACCUAACCAGGAAUCGAACACUGCCUUAAUAUUUGCAUUAUCAGAUAAAAUCAAUUUUUUUCCCAUUUUCAUUCCAUUUUAAUAUCUUCAAGUAAGAUGUCUUCUCGAACUUUUUAUUACAUACAUUUACUAUUCACAAGAGUUCUACAUACUUUUCAAUCAUAAAAAAGAGUUCUACAUACUUUCUGAGUUAUUAUUUACAUGUACCACAUAAAUUUAUAUUUCUAUUUACUUUCUUAUGUUAUCAAUCGAAUAGUCACCAAGAACUGGACUUUCUAUUUACUUCUGAAGGUGAAUGUGACUGCAGCCUAUAGUGAUAAAAUAUUUGUUAGUUUGCAAAAGUAGUUACUUUUUGUGCAACUUGUUGUAAAUAUGUCCUUUAUUAUGCUACAACUAUGGAGGCGGUGGCAGUGGGAAAUCUGUUUUGGUGCUUAAGGAAAGAAGAUUGGCAGUGAAUGUUAAGGUACAAGAUAGAGGUAGGUGGAGAGAUAGCGGGGAAAGUUAAGGACCUGAAAGCAUCCAUAGUCACGGUACAAGAUUUAUCAAAGUUCACAUAAGACUAAAUAUAUAAAAAAAAUACAUCAGUAAAUGUCUUUCCCUAAAAUACAAAACUCUCUUGUGGGGCAGUGAUAACAAGAAGUUUCCUAGCGGCACGGAGUGCAACUCUGUCUCCCAAAAUCCCAUUUUUUCCCUCUUAUUUCUAGUGUCUCGCUAUCGAGUACUUACUUUCCUUCGUUCCGCUUUUUAAUUUCCCCCCUUAAUUAAAAAAAAAAAAAAAAAGCGUCUAACAAUUUUUGUUGUCAAUGUAGGCACUAAUGCGGUCCAAGAAACCAACAAAUCGCUCUUUCUUUCAUGAGCAACCAAACAUUAGGCACUAAUGCUAUCCUAACACCGUCCCAUUUUCCAUACGCUCCAAUCCAUGAAUAAAUCCUGGUAACUCCUCAGGAACCAACCUAACAUCACCAACCAUUCCCCGCCCAUGAACAAGUAAAUAGAUCAAAAUGCAACCACCACUAAAUGGAAAGAGACGUUUGAGCACGAUAGUAGCGGCAAGAGGUGUUCUCAUACCUUCUUCUCCGCGUAGGACGUCCUCCUCUGGGAGAAGGAGAGGUAGAGAAGGAGGAGGAGGACGGGCCUGCCAUGGCGAUGGGAGCCGGGAACACCUCCGUGGGUCCAAAACGCCGACAAUGUUUGGUUUGGUGGGGGAUGGGAAGCAGACGGAAGAAAAGAAAAAGGCAAAAAGAAAAGGCGUCUUCCUCCCUCCCUCCGAAACCCUAACAGAAAUUAAAACAAGGCCCUCUCUCUCUUGGUUGGCUUUCUUUCUUUUUAGGCGGAGAAAGAGAGAGAAAGAGAGACAGACGACAGAGAGAGACAGCGUCAUGUCAGCUGUUUUCCCUGCCGACGAGGCUGCCUGUCUGCUCUAUUCCUUGCUCUCGUUUUUUU